This 13113-nucleotide long non-coding RNA is filed under the name Citrus sinensis (sweet orange). RNAcentral's name for it is "long non-coding RNA (CSIN_LNC003349)". The record is from RNAcentral. Lineage: Eukaryota; Viridiplantae; Streptophyta; Magnoliopsida; Sapindales; Rutaceae.
AUAAUUCCGUAUUUGGCAAUUAAAAUGGAUUGCAUUGAUCAGCAUUAACAUUAACAAACUAGAGCCCUUAAUGUAAAGAGAGAAAUCAAACUAAGCCACUCAUAUCGAGGAGACCAGUCAGCCAUCUUGAUGAAGAACAAGCUCCAUAUUCAAAUCAUGUCUCGAUAAGGUAACAAGACAAAAACUCGCAUGAUACUUGCAUAAAUUAAAAAAAAAAAAAACACACUCUUCGCAUAUUAAAUUGAGAUCUUAGGUUAUUGGUAUGCCAGCUUCAGCUCCGCUUUCACAUUGCCAGACCAAAUGAAAAACUAAAUAUUGCCUGAAAUUAUAGUCACCGAAAGAGUACAGAAGUUUUGACGUAGUUCACAGUUUCUCAAAACUUUCAGGAACUCGGACACUCAGAUUCGAAGGAACCUGAGAUGAGAAUCUUUUCAUGGAACCUGAAGAGCUCACCGAGUAUUUUGCUUCUUCUUCAGAGGUGGGCCAAUACUCCAUGCCUCUCCGAUUUGUAAUCCAUAAGCAUGAUCCAGCUUUACUCUCGUCAGUAAUAAGCUCAAAAGCACCUAAAAGAAAACAUGUUUGGAAUAUGAGAUAAGAGUUUCAAAACAAAGGGGACAAACCUGGAGGGUUCUAAUGAAAUUGCAAGCCAGAUUUAUUCGUCCUUCUCAAGAAAAAGUAAUAAAAAGAGAAAGAAAGAGGUAUAUUCACUGUGCACCUGAAGCUGAUAUUUUUUAUACCCAGAAAGAGUAAUUUAAGUUCAUUUUUAAGGAGUCUUUCUUGUUCAGAUUUCAGACAAUUCAAGCCUUACGAUUUUCCACUGCAUAAGGAUGUUGUACUAGACACUUCUCAUAAAUUUGAAGAGUAAUACCUUUCACUACCGUAUCCAUAGGUACAAAGCCCCCCAUCAGAUCAAUUAAUUGGGAGCCCGCCUUUAAGGCCAACUCAGUUUCAACAAACUGCAAACAAGAAUUCACAGUGAAACUAGUUGAGACUGACCCGUUUUCAAAAUGCUGGCUAAAUAUCACACUAGAUGACAUCCGGAAUGCUUCAAAUGGAGCAAUACCUCAGGGCAAAGCACGUUGAUGCGAAUUCCCUUGCUUUUGUAGGGAGUAAGUGAUCUAGUAAAUAAAACAACACCACCUAUGGAAAAAAAAAAAAAAAAAAUUGUUAUGAGAAUCAAAUUCUACAUUAUUUCUUUCCUUUUAUAGCUGACAUCAAAUGAACAUAAGGUAAUCUAAAUGAGUGCCCGAAAUAAAAUCGGUGACACAAUGUGGUACAAACAUCAAACCUUUGGAAGCAGAGUAGAUUGGAUCUGUGUAAAAUGGAUAAAGUCCUGCAGAAGAUCCCAUAUUUAUAAUCACUCCAGGCUUUUUUGCAGCUUGCAUAAUUCCAAUCUGUUAUCAUAAAAUGUACUCAUAAUCACCACUCAUUCUCUUCCAAUUAGCAAAUUAAAAGUAUAAGCAUAAAUCCAUCUCUUGGAACUUUCAACAUCUUGGAGUUGUGAAGUACAUUCUUUUGUUCCGCAAACGUAUGAGGAGAGUGCAAGUUAUCAAACAUACGUCAUGCAGUUAGCUUCUACACAAUCAUGCACACCCAUAAAUGGGGAAAAAAAUCCUCUAAAAUUUGCUAAAUGGCAGCAGGCAGAGGAUUACCGGAAAAAGAAUCCACUUUUUACAUAAAAAAAUUUCACCCAAUAAUCACUUACCUUGUGAAUGGGCUAUAGUUAGAAGUUUUUUGAAUCGCAUGGAUAAUUUAUGUGGCCUUGGGACAUCUUAAGGCUGUACUAGACUCUGACAUUAACAGCUUAACAUCAAGAAGUAUUCAACAGAUAUCAACCUCAUCAACAAUGCCAAACAAACCAUGGCAAUAAGUCGAGCAAGAGCAACCAAGUAUGAGAGUAAACCAUGAAGGCAAGUCAAAUUUAAAGCAUACCGCUUUCUGAGUGCAAUCAAUAACUGCAACCAAGUUCACAUCAAGAGUGAAUCUCCAUGAACGUGUGCCAUCAGUUUGAUCCUCGUGGAAUGGAAUGGGAUUACUUAUGCCAGCACUGUUGAUACAUAUAUCCAAUCCUCCAUAUGUAGCUACGUGCUUCUCAAAAGCAGCAGCUGUAUCCCCUGGUCAUCGAAUAUGAUGAAUGCACAUAACUCUCUUAAAACAUAAGUUGCACAUUGAGGAGAACAAGAAGAAAACAUGCCCAGAAAUUGAUGCUCUUUACUGUCAAGAAGUGAGACGCAAUUCUGUUUGAUGGAUUACUUGUAAAAUCAUCAAGUAACAAUCCAAGAAAUGAUUGGAUAUGCAAAUUCAUGCUGAGAAGUCAAAAUACAUAAAAACCAAUCGUCUACAAAGCAACGUCAUACAAAGUUAAAAAAAAAAAAUAUUCUGUUUCCCAUUAGAACCUCAACAUAAUACAACGGAUAAGUAAAUAACUAAAAAGUGUAAUAUAAAAAUCGUCAAAAUUCAGUUUUUGAAAUCCUCUCUUUCACAGCCUCAGAAAAGCCAAUGCAAACUCUGAACCAGGAAAAGUGAAAAGCGACAAAAUGAGAACAGUCCGGUUAUGACACGUAAGUAAAUAUAGGCAAACUUACUUGUGUUGGUCACAUCACAUCUUAUAAACAUAGCAGAUGGAAAUCCUAAGUUUGAAUGAAACUUGGCAUUCUCUUUUUCAACAAGCGCUGCAACUUCCUUUCCCUUUUCUUCAGAGAGAUCAACAACUGUCACAAAGACUCCCUUCCCUGCAAGAGCUAGGCUCAAAGCUCUACCUGCAAAAUAUACACCAGCAUUGGCAACAUCCGGAAAUUAUAUACCACAACAAUUCAAAUUUCAGUAACUUCCCUUGAAUAUGAAUAAAAUCAUUUUAGCCUAUCUUCGGAAGCCUCCGAUUGAUGAGAGUAACUACUAACUACUUAUAGGAUAUAUCGUAUACAAGAAAAAUAAGCAUAUACUGGAUUAGUAAUGAUUAGAAGGUCCCAAAAACACAAAGAAUCUAAAUUUCAAUAAGAAACAACCAAAGACACAACACAACCUAUCAAGUGCCAAACAAAACACAAUCAAUACACAAACACGAACCCAGUAAAGGAAUCAAAAUAGGGUACUUAAACGCAAGAAAAAGAAAAUUAAAAGCCUUCAAUUUUUUACCAAUCCCAGAUGCACCGCCGGUGACAAAAGCUGAUAAGCCCGGUUUGAGCUCCAUUUUAUGAACAAACAGAGAGGCAAAGGGAAGCGAUUAAACUACUCGGUUAAGAGUUUUCUUAUGUGAUCGGGCUUUAACUGCCCCUUUUCCCGGGUAUUUAUUUGAACGUACUGAAAUUUGUUGUUGCUCUGAAUUGCCAAAUGAAGGGUCGAUGUUAUAUAGACGGCUUCCUAUAGGUCUCUCCAGCCCACAAUUUGCGGCGCACUGGGGUCUCCUCAUUUUCCGUAAUUGUUUGUUUAGACGUGCAAAUAAUUUGAUGAUUCUUUCCUUGAACGUCAGAGCCAGACAGGGACAAAUACGUUUCAUCAUCUAACCUCUAACCAUUAACCAAUAUCUGCUAAACAAAUACCAGUAGAUUACGCAAGAAAUAUUAUUAACACGAGAACAAUAAGAAGAUAUUAGAUUACGUACUAAACAAUCAGCUUUAGGAAAGUAUUGAUAAUAUACAUGCACUCAAUACAAUUAUUAGACGUAAAAAUGCCACGUGCCGCCCGGUUAAUAAUUCGAUUUUUCUAAAUUUUAUUGGGAUAAAUAUCUCUCCUGCAUUCAUGGUAAUAGAUUUGGAUCAUGAUUCUCUCUUAAUCUGAUCUCCUCCUGAACAAACAUAUAUGGUGAUUGGUUGUUAAUAAAAUAAAAAAAUAAAAAAGUUAAAUCUUAUCCAUAUACUAUCACUUAAAAACACAUGACACAAAAUCUUAAAAAACUCAUGAGAGCUCAGAUAAGGAGAGGAUCUUUUUCUAAUAAAUUUUCGAACCCACCCUCGAUAGAUCAUCGCUUGGCUGAAAUAUGUACUACUCAUAGUACAUUUCAAAUUAUAUGUACUUGUAGAUGGUAACAAUUUCAAAAAAUAAUAUCAGCAAUGUAAUUAUUUGUAACGUGACCUUAGUAGUACUUAUUUGACCUUAUUGGAGUUAUCAGUAUUUUUGGCUAGACAUGUUUUGCUGUAUUAUCAAAACAUGUGCCGUAUAAGCUGUAUUGCUGACUUUUAAAACAAAAAAAUUAUCUAAGCAAUUAAAACGUUUUCAAUUUAUUUAUUAUUAUUUUAUAAAAUAAUAAAUUUGAUUGCUAAAAAUGUUGGCCACAACCGACCAACGCAAGCCGCUAUUAGCAAUCUUAUAGUGGUAUAUUGCAUUAAGUUAUAUUGCUUUAGCAUUAUAUUAUAUUAACAUUUUAUAAUAUUUGUUGUUAUAUUGUAUAGUAUUAUAUUAUAAUAAUUUUCAAUAUUAUUAUUUGUAAUAUAGAAUACUUAAAAAAUCAGUUUAAACAUAUUCCACGUACUGGCAAUAAUCAACAAAGUUUCAGAAUAGAGUUAUUAAUUAAUUUAGGAUAACAUUUAGAAAUUAACUUAGAAAAGGUAAAAGAGCUAGUACUAGGAGUAGAAAUUUUUUUUGAAACUAGCAAUAUUAAUACAUUAAGAAGAAAUUUAAAUUAUAUUAAAAAAUUAUUAGCUAAUUUUAAUAAGCAUAUUAGCAUAUUCCCUAGCAAGAAAUAAUAGAAUUAAUAUAGUUAUUAGACAUAAAAACAUCUAACCGAGUAGAAUUAGAAAUUAAAAAUUUUGUCGAAAGCUUAAAAGUUGCAAUAGAAAAUAUUAAAUGUACAGAAAGAGAAUUACAAAUACAACUAGACUCAAUAAAACUAAUAGCAAGUGAAUGAGUUUAGAAAAUCAAUUAAUAGAAAUAUUAGCAUAAUUGAAAAAAAAUACACCAAAUAUUAACCCAAUAGGCUAUUGUUAUAGAGAAUUUAGUCAAUAAAGUAAUAAUAUAUAGCGAGCUCAAGCAAAUACUAUUAUUAAAUUAUUAGUCAGAGUUUGUAAUAAGUUAGAAGACUUAGAAAAAUAAACUUAUUAAAUUAGAAAGUGGCUUUUAAACCUUUAUAAAAAGUAAAGAAACAAUAUCACAUUUAGUGAAGUAAUUAUUUGAUUUAAAACUAAAAGGACAAAAGAAAUUAAUUAUUUUGCUACAUUAUUACUAGUAAUAGAAUAUGUUAUGGGUAGAAUUAGUGAAUACUGUGAAAGAAGAAAAAAAAAGAUGUUUGGGUGGUUAAAACGCUACCACAUAUGUGUGUGUGUGUGUGUGCGCGCGCUCGACAUUGUAGCCUGCUCGUGAUCAAAGCAAUGUUCGAGGAGAUUCGUAAUAGUCAGCUACUUGUAUGCAUAAGGACUGCCAGGGAAAUCGCGAGGAGAAGCCAAGAUCAGGUCUUCACACAGACCUGGUCAGAGGUUGACCAUCGAGUUGUCUAGGAAAACUAAGUAUGAUGCCCACUCCUAGACGGUUACCGAAACAACUUCUCGAUCGCCUUAUAACUGGUGCACGUGCCCAUAACCCAACUAACACGCUCAACCAAUCCACGAGCAUCCACGAACUGAUAGUGAAGCAAUAGAUUCGGCUGCUUAUAAACGCAUUGCAAAUGGAAAUCAAAGGCGACACUUUUGGAACAAAGGGGGAAACUCUGUCUCUUUAAGUCCAGAACUUUUCUCUUAAAUUAUUUAUUCUUGUGGGCAUUAUAAUCUUUACUUCAAAUAGCUACUAUUAAGCCACAGACAUUUGUGACGCAAGUUUUUCUAAAAAAACAUCCGGCGCCCCCUGAUUGUUUAUUAUGAUUGUAGGUGUGGAGAGCACGUGGUCAUCAAAAUCUGUUCCACUGAAACAACUGCAAGCAGUUCUGUGCCCCAUCAAAAUAAAUUCAGUUAUUGACUUGACAAUCUGGUAGCUAUAACGAGCUCGACUAGAUUUCUGCAUCAACAAAAGACAUCAAAUAAAAUUGUAAUUUAGGAAAAUGUAUAUAGAUAUGUCAAAAGUACCGACUUUAAGAUGUAAUUAUCCUAGCUAUUCUAGUUGUAAGAAAAAUAUAAAAAAUGAUAUAAGCACUAUAAACAACCAUACAUGUAUAAUAAUAGAAAAUUCUAUAGGAAAAAAUUCUUUAAAUAUAAUAGCAGAAAAUCUAAAAGGUAAGCACUUAAAAAUGGUAAAAGAAUCUAUAAACGGAAUAAAACUUGUAAAUGUUUUUUAUGUGGUAAAUAAUGACAUAUUAAACCACACUGUCCUAAAAAUAAAAAAGUGAUCAAUCAAUUAAAAAUAUAUAGUUAUAUAUAAUAUAGAAGAACAAAUUUUAGUCAUAGAGAAAAUAUUUAAUAUAGAUAAAUAAUCAAAUAAUGAUAGCAUAUGUAUUCUUAGUAGUAAAUCAGAAGCUAAUUAUAAUUCAGUUUUAAAUUCAAACUCAGAGGUAGAAUUAGAUUUAGAAAUUAAUGUCUUAGGAACUUAUACAUAAGUUUUUGGUAAAAACUGUAUAGUCUGUAAUAAAAAAUUUAAAUUAGGAUAUAGAGAUAUAAGAAACAGAUAAAUUCUUUUGCAAUAGUUGUAAAGAUAAACAACAAGAUGAUAAAACAAUAGAAAUAAAUGGAGUAGGAAGUGAAUUAAUAUAUAUAGAUGUAGAAUUAUUAUUUAAAAAGGAAAUAAUUUAUACUAAAGCAAUGAUAGACACUAGAGCAAACAAAUGUAUUAUACAUGAUAGCUUAGUCCCUGAAGAAAAUAGGAAUAAGUUAGAAAUCCAGUAAAUAUUAUUAGACAAUUUAAUGGUGAAUUAAUGCAAAUAACAGAAUGUAUAAAUAAUAUACUUAUUAGAAUAAAUGGAGAAACACAUGGUAUUACCAUAAACAUUUAUUUCUAACCCGAAACUAGGAUAUAAAGUUAUUUUAAGAUUAAAUUUUAUAUUAGAAAAUAAUGAUAGUAUAUUAAUAACUCCAAAUGGAGUUAAUUUCUUUAAAAAAUCAACAUUCAUUCAAUCUAAAUAUGAAACACACAUCUUCCCAUAUGAAAAGAAUACAUUAAUGCUAGAAAAAGAAGUAGAUAUAUAAUUCUUUAAUUCGUUAUUAGAGGAAGAAAAAGAUAGUAAGGUAGAAAGUAUUGAAGAGCUGGAAGACUAUAAUAAGUUAGAAUUAGAACGUGACAUGCACAUGAAUAAUAAGUUUUCCAUUAAUGAAAUAGAAAUGCUAGAUGAUGAAGACAUAGACAUGUACUUACAAGAUAUUAUGAGUAUAGAAAAACAAGUUGAAUGUUAUGCGAUAAAUGAUCUAAGAUAUAAAGAAACAAGUAGAUGAAUUAGAAAAAAUUAGAUAAUAGGCAACAAACCAAAUAGAAAAGAUAAUAAAGAGAUUUAUAGAUUAGAAAUAAUUAAUUCAAACAUAUCAAUAAAAGCACAAGAUUUAGCCUAUAGUUUAGAAGAUACAAAUGAGUUCAAAAUGUAUAUAAAUAAAUUAUAGAAUUAAAAGUAAUAAGAAAUAGUACAAGUAGACAUAGAAGUCCAGCAUUAAUAGUAAAUAAGCAUAGUGAGCAAAAAAGAGGUAAGAGUAUAAUUGUAAUUAACUAUAAAAGAUUAAACAAUAAUAAUUUAGACAAUAGUUAUAAAAAAAACCCAAUAAAGAUGAGCUAGUAAAUUGUAUACAGAAUACUGGAUACUUUUCUAAAUUUGAUUGUAAAAGUGGUUUUUGGCAAAUAUGACCUCAUAAGAAUCUAUUCAAUGGAUAGCUUUCAGUUGUUCAAAAGAACAUUUCAAAUAGUUAGUCAUGCCAUUCAAAUUAAAAAAUGCACUACAAGUUUUUCAAAUUUAAAUGGAUAAAAUAUUAAAACCAUUUUCAAAAUUUUGUAUAGUUUAUAUAGAUUAUAUUAUUGUCUUUGAUCAUAAUAAAUUUAUGAAUAUAACUCACUUACAUAACAUUUUAGAUAUUUUAGAUUAUUUUAAGAAUAACAAUAUAGUAAUUUCUAAAAAGAAAAUUGAAUUAUUAAAACAAAAAAAAUUAGGACUAACAAUAGACAGAAGAACUAUAGAAUUACAACCACACAUAGUUAGUAAAAUAUUAGAAUUUUCGAAUAAAAGAGAAGAUACUAAAAAAAUACAAAAAUUCUUAGGAUUAUUAAAUUAUAGUAGAAAAUUUAUAACAAAUAUCCGUACAUUAAUAAAACCCUUAACCCUUACAUAAUAAGUUAAGUAAAAAUGGACAUAAAUAUUUUAAUAUUGAAGAUAUAAAAUUAAUAAAAAAACUUAAAAGAAUAUUUAGAAAUCUUAAGCUAUUAGCAUUAUCUAUAGACAAUUAUUAUAAAAUUAUACAAAUUGAUGCAAGUAGUUUAGGAUGAGAAAGAAUAUUAAUAACAAAGCCUAAUAAAGAUAGUCUAAAAGAAAAAGAAGAAAUAACAAUGUAUACAAGUGGAAAAUUCAUAAAAAUAAAAAGUAGAAAAUCAAGUACAUAACCAGAAAUUUUAGGAAUAAUAAGUUCUUUAAAUUCAUUUAAUUUGUAUAUAAAAAAUGAUAUAUUUAUAAUACGAAUAGGUUGUAAUAAUAUUAUUGAAUUUUAUAAAAAAGUACAAAAGAAAAAUUUUGAGAAGAAGAAUUCUUUUAUUAAUAAAAGAUGAACGUAUUUUUUAGACGUAAUAACAUAUAGAGGAUAUAAAGGAAAUUUUGAACACAUAAUAGGUAAAAAUAAUACUUUAGUAAUAUACUUUCGAGACUAAUUAUUCAAUGAUUAUUUUACAGGAAUGGUGUGAUAUAUGAAUUUCGGUCCAGUAACACUUAGACAGUUCCUUUCAAGAACAAGUUUGAAUUUUAUAAGGACUAAUUAUCAAACAGUCGAUAAUACAUCUUAGAUAAUUUGUGGAGUUGUAAUAACUCACAAGAUAAAUUAAAAGUAGUCAAUGCACUCAUGAAUUAUUUUAGACAUAUUAAUGAGCAUAUAGAAAGCAAUCAUUUUGCAUUUUUUAUAUUAGUUAGAGGUAGACAAUCAGGCAUUUAUAGCAAAUAGAGAGAGAUAAUUUAUCUAAUAGUUAAUUAUCUAAAUCCAUAUUGUAGAGGUUUUUAUACAUUUCAUAAAGCAAUAGAAUUUGCUAGACAAAAGAUAGGACUAAAUUAUCAUAUUAGCAAUUUAAUUAACCCUUUAAACAAUGUAUCAAUAUCAUUAGCCAGACAAUGAAUUAACUCUUUAAUCAAUGCAUCAUCAUCAACCAUACAAUUUUGUAACUAUUGUGAAGUCAUGACACGCACCAUUAGAAAGCUCAAUGAAGUAAAUGCAUAUAGACAGAAGAUAAUUGCAUUAGAAAUUGCUGAUGUAGAACUAUUUAGAGAGAAUAUUUUAUUACAAAAUAAAUAUCAUAUUUUACAUAACCAAAAGACCAAAAAAAAACUGAAAACAUUUAAUCAUUACUUUCUACUUGAAGAAGCUUUUAACCAUAUCCUAGUGAAGUAAUUUUUAAGAAUCCAAAAAUUUCUCCCCUCAUUAGUGAUGGUAUAGACAUUGUAAAAGAAAAAAUAUUUUUAACCAUAGAAGAAAUCUUAUAGCAGGAUUUUAUUUCAAUAGCCAAUCAAUUAUUUUAAAAUCAAUUAAAUUUCUUCACUGAGUUAGGACCUAGAUGAUCAGAACUAAGAAAUAUUACCCUCCCAGACAUGAUUUUCCUACAAUUUCCUUUGAUUAUUCUUUAGUCAAAAUCGUAAACAAUUAAAAUUUAUUAUUUAUAAGACAGUCACUACCAUACUAAACAUUAUAUUACAACUUAAUAUAAUGCAUCCUAAUGCUAUACAACAUAGUGCAAUACAACUAAUAUGAUGUGAUAUAAUGCAAUGUGUCAAACGUCCUCCAAAUGAAUACACUUAGUCUGAGGUACGGGGAUUGAGCCAUUGAGGUUAUGCAAGGUGAAAGAAAUAAGAAAUAAGAACUUAAAUAAACUUUAAUUUAUGCGGAUUGAUUCAACUUUUCAUGUAAUUAAAUAUUCCAUUGGAGUUGGAUUAGGGAUAUUAUUUUACUACCUAAUAUAUUUUGACAUAACAUUUCACCAUUAAAGUUUUCUGACAAUUACUUUUUCUUAUUUAAUGUUUUAGUUUUUAUUAUUUUACUACCGAACCAUUAAAAUUAAUAAAAUUCUUAACGUGAAAUAUAAUAAAAGACUAUUUUACCCCCAAAUUACGUAAAUAUAAUUUAACAUAAAUUAAAAAAUAUAAAAUUAAUUAUAUACAAAAAUAAUAUUUUCACUAAUUAAUUAUUUAAUUAUAUAAAAUAACUAAUUGAUAAAAUUAUAAAUAUCAUACCUUAUGAAAUUCCUAAAACAUUAUAUAUAUUGAAAACUCAAGGCCACAGCCCACAGCCAAUGGCUACGGACGUUGCUUUAAGUUCUUUUAUUCGAAGGAUUGGUAAACCACGUACCGCUAUCAUUAUAAUAAUGGGAACAAGCGAGAUUAGGUGUAAUUUUCAUUUGUUUUCGUCCUUAUCAUGACAUAGCAUCAUCUAUUCAUUUUACGUGUUAGCUUAUUACUCUUGUUUGUUUUAAGUUAAAUAAAAUAUUAAUCCCUUUUUUGACAUUUGAGGCGAGUUAUAUAAAUAACAAUCCGUUCUUGACAUUUGAAGCAUACUUGUACCAAGAGCAAAGCUUAAACAUUUCAAUUUUUGGCUUUUUUAUUUUGUUUUUUAUUUGUUAGGUUUUAUAAUCUCAAAAUCAAGUGUAUGUUUGGCAUACAGUGUCACAUAGUAUUAAUUUGUGGGCUCACAUUAGUUGAAAUAAUUCCGUAUUUGACAAUUCAAAUGGAUUGCAUUGAAAUGAAUGUUGUUUCUAAGCAUGAAAAGUAUCUGGGACUUCCAUCUAUGAUUGAGAGGAGAAAUAUUAGUUUCUUCAACGACAUAAAGUUGAGUGCUGAAUAAGCUGUCAAGUUGGCAAAAUAAGUGUUUCUCGAGUGGGGGAAAAGAAAUCCUCAUCAAAGCUGUGGCACAAGCUGUGCCGGCUUAUGCGAUAAGCAUUUUUAGAAUUCCUCAAGGGCUUUGUGACGAUAUACAAAAGGCAGCAGCAAGGUUUUGGUGGGGAUCAUCCGAAACUUAUAAAAGUAUUUAUUGGGUAAGGUGGGAAAGGUUGUGCCGGGCUAAGAUCAGGGGUGGAUUGGGAUUUAGAGAUCUUUCAAGUUUCAAUCAGGCUCUUGUUGCUAAUCAGGGGUGGAGAAUUCUACAUAACCCUGAUUCUUUUAUGACAAAAGUAUUAAAAGCCAAGUACUCCAAACAUACUGACUUUAUGGAGGCAAAAUUGGGGUCAAAUCCCCCCUUUGUAUGGAGAAGGAUAUUAUGGGGAGACAAGUGCUACACCAAGGCCUAAGAUGGAGAAUUGGUAAUGGAAGCCGUGUUUCAGUGUCCAACAGUAAUUGGAUUCUGAGAUAUGAACUUUCAAGCUAUGUCCCUCAUCAAAAUUUAACGGAAGGGGCUGUUGUUGCUGAUUUUAUUGAUGACAAAAAUCAGUGGAAGGAAGAGAAGAUUGAGCAAUGUUUUACCAAAGAGGUUGCACAGAAGAUUUUGAAAAUCCCUCUCCCAAGAACCCCUCAGGAAGACAUAUUGAUUUGGCAGUUCGAUAAGCAUGGCUGUUACUCAGUAAGGAGUUGAUAUCAGGUGGCACUAAAGAUGAAGUUCCCAGAUAAUCCGGAGUGCUCUGACAGCUCAAAAACUCAGUGGAAGGUAAUUUGUUCAAAUGAGAUUUCGGAAAAAAUUAAAAUUUUUAUGUGGAGGGCUGCUCAAAAUUUACUGCCAACAGCUAGCAAUCUAUGGAGGAAAAAUGUGGUGAGGGAUCCAGCCUGCCAAAGAUGUCAUUGUAAAAGUGAGAGUGUUCUUCAUGUCUUAAUAGAGUGCGAGGCUGCUCGCAAAGUCUGGAAAUUGACAGAUUUUUACGAGGAUGUGAAGUUGAUGGCUCAGCAAGAUAUAUUGAGUAUGCUCCAAGGUUUAGCAUCGAGAAGGAAGAAGAAAGAGUUGGAACAGAUUAUUGCCGUAUGUUGGGCCAUUUGGUAUGCGAGGAACCGCUUUAUAUAUGAAGGAAAGCAGGAAGAGCCAAAACUGACAGCAGCAAGAGCAUCAGCUAUUGUGGAGUCAUACAGGAGAAUAAAAAUCCAAAAUGGUCCAGCUCGAUCAAUCCAUCAUCGAAACAGCCAGCAAAUUUGGAAACCUCCUCCAGAUGGGAAGUACAAAGUCAAUGUAGAUGCUGCAAUUCAGAUGUCAGGUCUGAAGGCAGGGUUGGGGGUUGUGAUUGGGAACUCAAAUGGAAAAAUCAUUGCCGCAGCUGUCAAGAGAGUCAGCUAUAAGGGGACAGUGGCGUGCAUGGAGGCUGAAGCAAUUCUUUUUGGCAUUCAAGUUGCCCAACAAGCAGAAUGUUUGCCCAUGAUCAUUGAAUCGGACUCAACAGAAGUGGUGGAGCUAGUUUUGAACAGGAAGGGUAGCAUGACAGAAAUUUCUUGGACAGUUGAAGAAAUUAAACAAAGGCUGAUGAAUCACAAUACAUCUUCAAUCCAGUUUGCUCCAAGGAAGUGUAAUGCCAUUGCCCAUUCUAUAGUUAAAGUGGCUUUUGAUUUUGAGAACCCUGUUAUUUGGCUGGAAGAGUUUCCAGUUCAGAUCAUGCUGUUAUUUUCAAAGUUCAUUAAUUAGAAAGCUUUACUUUCUCAUUAAAAAAAACAAUAAAUAACCAGAGCCCUUGAUGUAAAGAGAGAAAUCAAACUAAGCCACUCAUAUACAGGAGACCAGUCAGCCAUCUUGAUGAAGAACAAGCUCCAUAUUCAAAUCAUGUCUCGAUAAGGUAACAAGACAAAAACUCGAAUGAUACUUGCAUAAAUUAAAUAAAUAAAUAAAACACACACACAUACACACACUCUUCGCAUAUUAUAUUCAGAUCUUAGGUUAUUGGUAUGCCAGCUUCAGAUCACUCUCCACUUUCACAUUGCCAGACCAAAUGAAAAACUAAAUAUUGCCUGAAAUUAUAGUCAAAUUUCCAUCACCAGCCACCGAAAGAGUACAGAAGUUUGACGUAGCUCACAAUUUCUCAAAACUUUCAGGAGCUCGGACAUUCAGAUUCGACGGAACCUAAGAUGAGAAUCUUUUCAUGGAACCUGAAGAACGCACCGAGUAUUUUGCUUCUUCUUCAGAG